This 247-nucleotide ribosomal RNA is filed under the name uncultured bacterium. Its description in RNAcentral is "partial small subunit ribosomal RNA". It matches the Rfam family "Bacterial small subunit ribosomal RNA", at positions 26 to 288 of the family's 1533-position model. The record is from RNAcentral.
AGAAUCAACGCUGGCGGCGUGCCUAACACAUGCAAGUCGAACGAGAAAGUGGAGCAAUCCAUUAGUAAAGUGGCGCACGGGUGAGUAACACGUGACUAACCUACCCUUGAGUGGGGGAUAACCUAGGGAAACCUGGGCUAAUACCGCAUAAUACCUUCGGGUCAAAGGAGCAAUUCGCUUAAGGAGGGGUCGCGGCCGAUUAGUUAGUUGGCGGGGUAAUGGCCCACCAAGACUAUGAUCGGUAUCC